AUGAAAUGGAAUGGAGAAUCAUACUGAGCAAUGGAGUAGGCAAAAUUACUUUCUGCAGAAGUUGCGUUGGUCCACGGAGACCUCCUCAAGCUGACAGAAAGUUUUUUAGCUUCUUUGAUAAUGUUGUCAUCUUUUGCAUACCCUGAGAAUUUCCUCACAGCAACACAAUGACUGUCCCAAACAUAAGGUUUCAGAUGCAGUUCAGGAAUAGGGACUGGCGGGUCAGCUUGGAAUUUCGAGGGCAAGUAAAAUAGAACAGAGUAGGCUGA
This 269-nucleotide unclassified non-coding RNA is filed under the name Hevea brasiliensis (rubber tree). Lineage: Eukaryota; Viridiplantae; Streptophyta; Magnoliopsida; Malpighiales; Euphorbiaceae. The record is from RNAcentral.